RNAcentral lists this ribosomal RNA (497 nucleotides) under uncultured bacterium. Its description in RNAcentral is "partial 16S ribosomal RNA". It matches the Rfam family "Bacterial small subunit ribosomal RNA", at positions 28 to 507 of the family's 1533-position model. The record is from RNAcentral.
GAUGAACGCUGGCGGCGUGCCUAAUACAUGCAAGUCGAGCGAACAGACGAGGAGCUUGCUCCUCUGACGUUAGCGGCGGACGGGUGAGUAACACGUGGAUAACCUACCUAUAAGACUGGGAUAACUUCGGGAAACCGGAGCUAAUACCGGAUAAUAUAUUGAACCGCAUGGUUCAAUAGUGAAAGACGGUUUUGCUGUCACUUAUAGAUGGAUCCGCGCCGCAUUAGCUAGUUGGUAAGGUAACGGCUUACCAAGGCAACGAUGCGUAGCCGACCUGAGAGGGUGACCGACCACACGGGAACUGAGACAGGGCCCAAACUCCAACGGGGGGAGCAGGAGGGAAUUCUCCCGAAAGGGGCAAAGGCCGGAGGGAACACCGCCGCGUGAGGAAUGAGGGUCUUGGGAUCGAAAACUUUUUUUAUUGGGAAAGAAAAAAUGGGUAAGAAACUAUGCCCGCCUUGAGGGACCUUAAUCAGAAGCCCAGGCCUAACUCCGUG